This 686-nucleotide long non-coding RNA is filed under the name Solanum tuberosum (potato). RNAcentral's name for it is "long non-coding RNA (STUB_LNC011470)". Lineage: Eukaryota; Viridiplantae; Streptophyta; Magnoliopsida; Solanales; Solanaceae. The record is from RNAcentral.
AUUUUGGGUUUAGAGUUUAGGGUUUUGUAGGUGUUUUAAAUGGGUUUUUUGGUUUAUUUCAGGGUUUCGUAGGGUUUUAGGUUUGGAAUUUAGGGUUUAGGGCUUAGGUUUUUUUUUUUUUUUUUUUUAAUAUUUAGGGAUUUAUGUUAAGGGUUUUUCUAUGUUUUUAGGGUUUAGGGCUUUGGGUUUUUUAGGUUAAGGGUUUUAUCUAGGGGUUUCUGGGUUUUUAUUGUUUUAGGGUUUAGGUCAUAGGAUUUUUUGUGUUUUAUAGGAUUUAGCAUAUACGAUUUUGGGUUUUAUAGGGAUUACAACUUUGAGUUUUUUUAGGUUUAUGGUUUUUUAAGGGUUAAGUGUUUGGUAGGGUUUUUUAGGGUUUUGGUUUUUUUUUUAAAAAUAUUUUUUAGGUUUAGGGUUUAUGGAUGCGUAGGAUUUUGGGUUUAGAGCUUAGGGUUUUGUAGGUGUUUUAAAUGUGUUUUUAGGUUUAUUUCAGUGUUUAGAUGAUUUAAUGUUUAGGGUUUAGGGUUUCGUAGGGUUUUAGGUUUGGAAUUUAGGGUUUAGGGCUUAGGAUUUUUAUUAAUGGUUAGGGAUUUAUGUUAACGGAUUUUCUCUGUUUUUAGGGUUUAGGGCUUUUAGUUUUUUAGGUUAAAGGUUUUAUCUAGGGUUUUCUGGGUUUUAUUGUUUUAGGG